Molecule: non-coding RNA, 732 nt
Organism: Misgurnus anguillicaudatus (oriental weatherfish)
Lineage: Eukaryota; Metazoa; Chordata; Actinopteri; Cypriniformes; Cobitidae
Source: RefSeq, a predicted model, not a curated record
UGCCAAACUUGGGGGAGUUCGACCUACCCCGACUUCGCAAAAUGAAUUCAGAGGAUAAUGGCGGUGCCCAUUGAGUCUCGUGUCAUGAGAGAGUCCAGACUAGUCUUACAACCGGGUGUACACCCAGCUGGUGCCACUGGCCCCUGUUUCUGAGGGCUAGGAGGACUGUUGGGCAUUCCUUUAUCAUGGUGGUCCUUGUUUGUCUGGGAGUGAUACAUGUUUUAAAAGGGAAACCUGCUGAAACUGCCACUAUUCAGCUACAAGACUGCCCAGAUCAUUGUGCAACUACACAGUUGUUUAUAGGAGAUGCUAAAUUUUCAGAUCAGGAGAAGAGGGCUGUCAUGGGACCUCCAAGGUCCUCCAAGAUCAAUUGGUCAGAUUAAACAAUAAUGUUAAAAAGACACAGAAGUUUGGUUGCUGUUGCAACAACAUCCAGAUGUCCAUUUGAUCUUCCCCAGAAACCCAGAAGCUGAUUGCUGUGCUCAGGUUUUAUUACCCACAUCUUAUUUGGUAUUUAAUAGAAUUAAAUUCAUUUUUUUAUUUUUUUUAUGUGCAUGCGCACAUUGAUGCAUAUGGGUCUUAAAUAUAAUGCAUAAAUAUAUCUCCAUGAACGCCACCUGGAUGACAGUCGCUUUCAGUGGUACUUGAGGAUGACGGCUGCAGUUUUGAUAGCCUGCUAGCUUUGACCGAUGUCAGGAUUGCUCAUAUGAACACUAUAAAGUCCGUCUCAGC